Oreochromis aureus is the source of this 2889-nucleotide long non-coding RNA. RefSeq lists it as uncharacterized. The record is from RefSeq and is a predicted model, not a curated record. NCBI's taxonomy places the organism in Eukaryota, Metazoa, Chordata, Actinopteri, Cichliformes, Cichlidae. The transcript is spliced from 3 exons.
UUAGCCAAGUAUUGGAGGUGCAGAAAGGUGCUACAAGAAGGUGCCUAAGAAGUCCAGCAAGCUGUCCAUGUCUGGGCCUUGCGUAACCAUGGUAACUUCUGACCCCACUUCCGCCAGUCCCUUUAUUGUGGCGGGAAUGAACCCUGUAUAAGUUCCGGGUCAAUCAGCUGCAUGUUCCCUGCUCCUCUGGCUGCUGUUGUUCCUGUGGUUGGCGUACUUGUCAGAUAUUGACAAAUUUUACACUACAUACUAGUUGACAGCGUGCAAUGACCCGGCCGAUUCAUUCAUCUUUACACCACCUCACAAUCGACUCAACGGUCAGGUUUUUUUUUCCCCCCGCGAUCAGCCCUGAUCAGCGCGGGAUGGCGAGCCACCCGACCACCGCUGCAUUGCGGUAGGACUUGCGAACCUUUGGACUAAACUGAACUGUUUCCACAUGACCUAUCACAGGUCAAUGAAACUAAACUGAUCUUAUACUGGACUAAACCUCAUCCCACCUCCUUUUGGAACCUAAUAAGCUGUUUUGUAUUGUCAACAUUAUUCUUGUUUGUGAUAUAUAUGCAUAUAUUUUUUUUAUUUUUUUGUACAUCUGUCUAUAGAUUUCUCAUAACAUACAUAAUAUAUAUAUUUCUUGACCUCUAUUUUGGUUUCCUGUGUUUUAUUCACACACUCAGGCUCCAUAGUCGAAACUACUUCUGAUUGCUCAUUUUCCAUGAAGCUGCUGUCACACGCCCUGGUCCUUUACCGCGUUACAAGUGGCGAGCCAGCCAGGAGCCUUUGUGUGUGAAUAUUUUGGGGUCAUACAUACAGUUUUUCUUUUCUUAAUUACUUUGUUUUUGCUGAAAAUCAAAAAUGGAUUCAGUUGCACUUUCCGGCAUCAAUAUAUCACAGUCUGUGAUGAUCUCUGGUGUGUCUAACACAAAAGCUGGUGACGAAAUUCUUGACUACUUGCGUACUUAUGGUAAUCUUAACCGUCAUUUUUACGUAAUUGAUCCUGCGAGUACUUUCUUUAAAAACCUGAUCGCUGAGUUUGUAGAUACCACUGCUUUUACAACUCUAGAGCCGUUUCUGCCAUACACUUACUGUUCUAAAACUGUUGCCGACCUUGUGUUCCGCGUCACAGCUUUGGCCUGUGAGUACGCCGCCACAGAGGACAGCAGCAGUCCUCCUCCCAACUACCUCAAGGAGCUCAAACAAAUUGCUGAUCGCAGCGGGCACCGGUUUGAGGAUGUCAUGAAGCAGCCAAAUACUCACAGACUUGGCCAACUGACAAAAAAUGUAGUCAGGUGAUAACAAGUACAGGGAAGGUAGUCAGAACUGAGGGGAUUGAACUACCAGAGGGCAACAUUGCAGACAUAGAGAGUAGGUACAAGUAGUUGGGGAUCCCACAGGCGAAUGGGAACCAUGAAGAGGCCGCUAGGAAAGCUGCAACCACCAAGUACCUGCAGGGGGUCAGGCAGGUCCUGAGAAGUUAGCUGAAUGGUAAGGACAAGAUCAUCUAUCAACACCUACACCCUGCCCGUGAUCAGGUACCAUGCUGGGAUAAUAAGCUGGUCAAAGGAGGAGAUGGAAGCCACUGACAUCAAGACCAAGAAGCUCCUGACCAUGCACGGAGGGUUUCACCCCAAGUCCAGCAUCUUGAGGCUGUACGCCAAGUGGAAGGAAGGAGGCAGAGGACUGGUAAGUGUCAGCACCAUGGUCCAGAAUGAGACAACGAACAUCCAAGAACACAUCAUGAAGAUGGCCCCAACUGACGGCGUGCUCAGUGAAUACCUCAGGCAGCAGAAACCCAAGAAAGAGGAGGAAGGCGAGAAACCAUCAUGGAAGGACGAUCGAAAUCAAUCAGCAUGAAGCUGAAGGAGAAACUGUCAGAGCACAAUCUUAAAGUGAACUCUGAAGCUGAUCUGCAGACAUCCCAGGGAGGUUGUACAACAAUCUAGACAAGGACGCACAACACAAAGAAACUCUACUUGGAAAUCUUUCUUAAGUGGAAAAAAGCAAAAGCGAACCAGAUUUACCCAAACUAAAAGCAUCAAAAGUCAACAAAAUGUUUCUGAUUGGAAAAAUUAGGAAAUGUGGAAAAGGGACUUACAAUAUCAUUUCCAUUACUCUGUUUAUGCUUUCUCUUUAUUAAAUUGGAGAAGAUUCUCAGCAAUCCUGCUUUUAAUGGUCUAAGCAUCAAUUCCACAUCUUUAACUUGGAAACAUCUUGGGGCUUCAAAAAAAGAGAUAUACAACUGAUUGCCAUCUGCAUUGUGUAACAAGUAAUGUCAAAGUGUAUGAAAUCUGGUGAAGAGGAAACAAAUAUAACAGAAAUAGUAAGGGUCUCCAAAACUGAACCUUGUGACACACCAUAGGCAUGAUAAGCAGAAGAGCACCUGUGCAUCCACGUAAUUGUCAGCUGUGAACAACAGAACAAAACACUGAGACAUGGACAGGCAGUAAAGUCCAAGCUUUAUUAAUCUCAUAUUAGAGGGAAGAAAAACAGUGUCAACUCCAAGAGAAAUUUUCCCUCACAGCUCAUGCUGUGUUUGUCCUCUCAGUCUGUGAGGUGCAGGUGGAGGAGGGGGCGGAGUCUGUCCCGCUGCCCUUUCAAACCACGAAAGACCUGCCUGCAGAUGCUAAAGUGGUGUGGUGGGACAUUCAUGACAGGAAGGUCCACGUGUUUUCAGACCAGGCUGGAGAACAGGACGAGGUUUACAGGGACCGAACAGAGAUGAAUAACAACCCGCUGACAACUGGAGACCUCAGUCUGACCCUGAAACGUCCCACAGAGAGAGACAGUGGGACAUACAGAUGUGAUGUCAUCAGAUACAAAACAGUGCAGCUUAGGGUCAAAGGGAGAGUUGAGGUCCAGGAUCAAACAGGGGACAUCAGGAACAGAAGCAGC